This 695-nucleotide ribosomal RNA is filed under the name uncultured bacterium. RNAcentral describes it as "bacterial SSU rRNA". It matches the Rfam family "Bacterial small subunit ribosomal RNA", at positions 56 to 753 of the family's 1533-position model. The record is from RNAcentral.
UGCAGUCGAGGGGUAUAGGUUUUCGGACCUAGAGACCGGCGCACGGGUGCGUAACGCGUAUGCAAUCUACCUUUUACAGAGGGAUAGCCCAGAGAAAUUUGGAUUAAUACCUCAUAGUAUUAUUGAGUGGCAUCAUUUAAUAAUUAAAGUCACAACGGUAAAAGAUGAGCAUACGUCCCAUUAGCUUGUUGGUAAGGUAACGGCUUACCAAGGCAACGAUGGGUAGGGGUCCUGAGAGGGAGAUCCCCCACACUGGUACUGAGACACGGACCAGACUCCUACGGGAGGCAGCAGUGAGGAAUAUUGGUCAAUGGGCGCAAGCCUGAACCAGCCAUGCCGCGUGCAGGAUGACGGUCCUAUGGAUUGUAAACUGCUUUUGUACAGGAAGAAACAGUUCUACGUGUAGAGCCUUGACGGUACUGUAAGAAUAAGGAUCGGCUAACCCCGUGCCAGCAGCCGCGGUAAUACGGAAGAUCCAAGCGUUAUCCGGAAUCAUUGGGUUUAAAGGGUCCGUAGGCGGUUUUGUAAGUCAGUGGUGAAAGCCCAUCGCUCAACGGUGGAACGGCCAUUGAUACUGCAAGACUUGAAUUAUUGGGAAGUAACUAGAAUAUGUAGUGUAGCGGUGAAAUGCUUAGAGAUUACAUGGAAUACCAAUUGCGAAGGCAGGUUACUACCAAUAUAUUGACGCUGAUGGA